Molecule: ribosomal RNA, 616 nt
Filed under: uncultured bacterium
Lineage: Bacteria
Description: bacterial SSU rRNA
Rfam family: Bacterial small subunit ribosomal RNA
Source: RNAcentral
CCUACGGGAGGCAGCAGUAGGGAAUAUUGGACAAUGGGCGAAAGCCUGAUCCAGCAAUGCCGCGUGAGUGAUGAAGGCCUUCGGGUUGUAAACUGCUUUUGUACGGAACGAAACGGUCUGCCCUAAUACGGUGGGCUAAUGACGGUACCGUAAGAAUAAGCACCGGCUAACUACGUGCCAGCAGCCGCGGUAAUACGUAGGGUGCGAGCGUUAAUCGGAAUUACUGGGCGUAAAGCGUGCGCAGGCGGUUAUGUAAGACAGAUGUGAAAUCCCCGGGCUCAACCUGGGACCUGCAUUUGUGACUGCAUAGCUAGAGUACGGUAGAGGGGGAUGGAAUUCCGCGUGUAGCAGUGAAAUGCGUAGAUAUGCGGAGGAACACCGAUGGCGAAGGCAAUCCCCUGGACCUGUACUGACGCUCAUGCACGAAAGCGUGGGGAGCAAACAGGAUUAGAUACCCUGGUAGUCCACGCCCUAAACGAUGUCAACUGGUUGUUGGGUCUUCACUGACUCAGUAACGAAGCUAACGCGUGAAGUUGACCGCCUGGGGAAGUACGGCCGCAAGGUUGAAACUUNAAAUUGAUUGNGNGNGAGAGNGCGAGACGACACGAGGAGGAGG